Molecule: ribosomal RNA, 497 nt
Filed under: uncultured bacterium
Lineage: Bacteria
Description: partial 16S ribosomal RNA
Rfam family: Bacterial small subunit ribosomal RNA
Source: RNAcentral
GAUGAACGCUGGCGGCGUGCCUAAUACAUGCAAGUCGAGCGAACAGACGAGGAGCUUGCUCCUCUGACGUUAGCGGCGGACGGGUGAGUAACACGUGGAUAACCUACCUAUAAGACUGGGAUAACUUCGGGAAACCGGAGCUAAUACCGGAUAAUAUAUUCAACCGCAUGGUUCAAUAGUGAAAGACGGUUUUGCUGUCACUUAUAGAUGGUUCCGCGCCGCAUUAGCUAGUUGGUAAGGUAACGGCUUACCAAGGCAACGAUGCGUAGCCGACCUGAGAGGGUGAUCGGCCACACUGGAACUGAGACACGGUCCAGACUCCUACGGGAGGCAGCAGUAGGGAAUCUUCCGCAAUGGGCGAAAGCCUGACGGAGCAACGCCGCGUGAGUGAUGAAGGUCUUCGGAUCGUAAAACUCUGUUAUUAGGGAAGAACAAAUGUGUAAGUAACUAUGCACGUCUUGACGGUACCUAAUCAAAAAGCCACGGCUAACUACGUG